RNAcentral lists this long non-coding RNA (278 nucleotides) under Pelobates cultripes (western spadefoot toad). Lineage: Eukaryota; Metazoa; Chordata; Amphibia; Anura; Pelobatidae. The record is from RNAcentral.
GCUGCACUGAUAAGAAAUCUUGGAAAAGUUACAAACUUGCUAAAAGGUAGAAACUUGGCACUCACUUGGAGAACUACCCACCUGUAAUGCGGACGCGUGUUGCUGGUCUCUGCUGUUCCCAGAGAGGUUCCCUCCAUGCCGACUGCCAGAGUUCCCCCAGUCACGUGCAGUGAGGACACAACAAAACCCCUCUAAUAGUGAUGUAUACUUAAGCUGAUAUAUCCGGAUGCUAAGCUGUUUUGAAGUGAAUGCAUGCAACUGCUUAAUGAGAAUUAAGC